AUCACUUCUCAGACUUUUGGCUAAAAUCACAUGUCGUAUCUGUUCUUAUCAGUUUAAUAUCUGACAUGUCCUCUAUCCAAUGACAAUAUAUUAAAUGGAAUUUUGGAGCAGGGAACUGGAAUAGGGUUUACUCAACCUGGUAUUGCAAGAGUGAUGCACUCUUCCUCAUAAAAAAAAAAUGAAA
This is a non-coding RNA of Erinaceus europaeus (western European hedgehog), 184 nucleotides long. Lineage: Eukaryota; Metazoa; Chordata; Mammalia; Eulipotyphla; Erinaceidae. The record is from Rfam.